This is an RNA transcript of Acinonyx jubatus (cheetah), 3409 nucleotides long. RefSeq lists it as uncharacterized. The transcript is spliced from 5 exons. Lineage: Eukaryota; Metazoa; Chordata; Mammalia; Carnivora; Felidae. The record is from RefSeq and is a predicted model, not a curated record.
GUGGCAUCUCCUGUUUAAAUGCCUUCUAGAAAAAACUUCUCAGGCCUGAACAGGAAAUUGGGACUUGACCCCUGAUUCCCUCUGUAGCCAGGCCCUGGCCUUGGCUCAUGCUUUCUCCAAAAAGGUUUUUCAAAUCUUUCGGGCCAGGGGACUCCUUCCCAACUUCACUGUGUUGCCGUAACUGCCCACUUCUUUGUGUUUCUUUCACUAGCUACCCAUCGCUGUCACUGCGUGGCCCCAAUGCAAAGUGGGAGACGCCCAAUGAGCUGGAAGGAAAGAAGAAAGAUUAAAAGAAAGCUUAAGAAUAGCAUAGAGUAGCAGGCAGGUGUUUAUUCUUCGCAUGUAAACUCAGCAAGGGCUAAAGAAUCCAAAACAGUCCAGAAACACCAUAGUUUUUGAGGGUGCUCCUGACUGCGGGAGGCCGAGCUUGCACUAAUGGGUCUGCACACGUCCCAGGGCAAACACAAGUUGGUGCAUAUACCAGACUCAUGCAUCCAUGCACCUGUGCACGUCUCAGGUUCGUGCGAACAGGAAUCCGUACACACCCGUACCUCUGUGGGCAGCCAUUCGGUGCAAACACAAGUGUGCGCACACUCGUGUGAAAAGCAAAUCCUUGAGAUCGUGCACAGAGGAAAACGUGGAAACCCACCGGUUCGUGCAUAUCGGAUGGUGCAAACACAAGCCUACGUAUACUGGGACGAGUGCACUGUCCCGAGGUUGUACACACGUGGAAAGAGGCACACCCCAGGGUUGUGCACACACGAGGUCCUGCAUGCCCCUUGGGCCAACUCUCAGGCCUAGUCCAGAGAAAGUAGAGGCGCCCAUUCGACCCAAACUCGGGCACAGCUGUAGGGUCUGGGCGCCAUCUUCGCCCCGCGAGCAGCGGAAAGAUCAGCAGACCGGUCGGCCCUUGCGCAGGGGCCUUUGUUGUCCCUGCUUCCGGGCGUCCAUCACGCGGAGGCCGCGCGCGCCGGAGCACGAAAUGGCGGUUGGGGGCGGGGCUGGACGGGGCGACCCGGAACAGCGCCCACUCACGACUCCAGGCAAGGCGCGCCGUCCCGCCCCCUUGCGCAGGCGCACGGCACGGCGCGCGUUCCCGCGUUCCCUCCGACGCGCGCCGGGACACAAAGGGCUGGAGGGAAAGCACGGAGCGCGGCCAGCACCUACGGAGCGGUUAGCGGUCCGGAGCGGCCUGGAGCGGACUACCGGGGCCGGAGCCGGGCUCGCCGGAACCGCGCGCUGGGGCGCCGGGUGGGGCGUUGGGCGGCGCUCCUUCCCCUCCCCUCGUCCUCCUUCAACGGCCGUAACGGCCUCGCGAGCUGGGGUGGGGCGGAGCGGGCCGGCAGGGCGCAGGCGCCGAACUCCCGGCCGCCGCGGGGAGGGCCUGGCGCCUCCAUUUUCCGUCGCGCGCCCUAAUGGCGGAAGUGGCUGCUUUUACCCGGGUGCGGAGGGAACGACUCGCCUCUGGGAAAGCUAGAGGCCUUCUCUCCAGAUUCUUUGCUCGGUCCGCGCGCUUCAGCGCGGGAGUUGACCGAUGUAGCUCUUUAUAAAGGUUUGGAAUGUGUUGUAAAAAAAAAAGAAAAGGCCGACAUCUCCGCAAAUUACUACAGUAGAUUGCGACUUGCUACUUCAAAUUGGGAAAUAGGGAAGGGGUGAGGAUACUAAUGCUGAAAAGUAUUAGACCAGCCAAGGAACUACCCCGACAGUUUGGCGACCUGCAAGGGACCUUCAUAGGCCAGACACCGCUUGCUCCAAGCCUGCUGCAGCUGACAGAGCUCGGGGACUCUGACAAGAGCCAGCGGAAGAUUUCUCUCCAGUGGAAAGAGCCCAUCUCCUGAGGAGGAGACUGGUGACAGCUGAAUCCUUCCAGGAGACUCUGCUUUUAGAUACUGGGAGUACGGGAAAAACCACUCACAGUGAGAGAUUCUGGAUCCCUUCAGUAUGAAUGCUCCUCUUCUCCUUGUCCAAAGGCCAGGCUGGUUGGGGGUGCUCAGGGUCUAGGGGUUUGGUUCAGCAUUCCUGAGACUGGCACAGGGAAUUCAGCAAGGGCAGAAGGAGCGGGGUAGUCCCCCCAGCAGAGGCUGUGCGAGGGUGGAGGAAAGGGCCAAGUCACUAUGGUUGGCGAUCCAGGGCAUGUGUAGGAGCACAGAGGGCCAGGGUCAAAUCCUAUGUCCUUGGGCAAGAUUCUUAACUUCUCUGGGCUUCAUUUUUCUACUUGGGUAAAAACCCUCACAGGACCACAGUAAGGCUAAGAUUACUUAACGCAUUCAAAGCACAUGAUACAGUGCCUGGCACAGAGCAAGUGUUCAGUUAAUGCAGCCAACUUCACUGCUGGGGACAGGCAGUGAACAAAGCCGAGCCCCGCUCUCCUGGAUCUUCCAUUAAACAAAGGUGUACAUGCCAUCAUCAGAUGGCCGGGUACACCAGCAGAAAAGGAAGCAGGUGAGAGGCAGGGAGGGAGAGGUGGGGGCUGGUGUGGUCAGGAAAGGGACAUCUGAGCAGAAACCAGAAUGAGGUGGCCUCACCGGAAUUAGGAUGAUGUCUCAUUGCUGUUCCUCCUGCAUGUUCCCUUAAUCAUUCCUUCUCUUGCCUGAGUUUCCACCAGCCAGUGAACCGGGACUAGGUCGGUUCCCAUCUCAGCUGAGCACGUGGCCUCCUCUCCAUGAUCCUUUCUGGGGGUGGCGUCAGUGGAGUGCGAGCACAUGGGGGCCCCAGGUUCCGAAUAAUGGAAACUGUUUCUUUCCUGGCUGCCGAGAUCCGGUUUCCUCCCAAGGAAAUAAUGUCUCACCGCAGCUGAGGCCGGCACUGCCCCCUGGAAUUUCCCUGCAGGGGAGAAACACCCCGCUGGCGGAGCUGCUCUGAGCUGGGACACACCUAGAGCCUGCUUGUGCACAACCCAGAGGGGGACACGCCCAGAGACACACACAGAAAAUGCCGUGGAAUGUGCUGAGAUGGUCUACUGGGAGGAACGAUGUCUUCUGCAUUACGACCCCUCAGCCUAAGUGAAGGAGUCAAUCUAAUCCUGGCAAUGUGAGCAAAUCCACUUGAGAAUUACUCAGUCCUGAACUCCCCCAAACUACAUGCUUGUCUAUUUUUCCUGUCCCCAAGUGUUCUGAAACAUACCUGCCAACGAACUGAACUGUAUCCUGGAAAAUGGCAGCAUGGAGGAAUAAAUCCAAAGACUGUGACCUUUCUUCCUCUUAUCUUUAUCAGCCUGUGGCUUUUAGGCACCAAAUUUUGUGUUCUAAGUUUUUACACCCCCCUUCCCUACUGCCCCAAUCCAAUUACAGCGGUGGGCUAACUAUCUUGAGCUCCUUCAACACAGGGGAGCCAUCUCUGAGUUAUGUGGCCCUCAUAAUGAUCCAUUUCUCCUCCUGCUGCUCCCUGAGUAAACUGAAAUGGUAUUGUC